CCAGACUCCUACGGGAGGCAGCAGUGAGGAAUAUUGGUCAAUGGCCGGAAGGCUGAACCAGCCAAGCCGCGUGAAGGACGAAGGUGCCAAGCAUUGUAAACUUCUUUUGUCAAGGGACAAAAUCAGGCUCGAGAGCCUGACCGAGGGUACUUGAAGAAAAAGCAUCGGCUAACUCCGUGCCAGCAGCCGCGGUAAUACGGAGGAUGCGAGCGUUAUCCGGAUUUAUUGGGUUUAAAGGGUGCGUAGGCGGAGUGUUAAGCCGGCGGUAAAAGGCGGGGGCUCAACCCGGGCGAGCCGUUGAAACUGGCGUUCUUGAGUGAGCGAGAAGUAUGCGGAAUGCGUGGUGUAGCGGUGAAAUGCUUAGAUAUUGCGCAGAACUCCGAUUGCGAAGGCAGCAUACCGGCGGCGAUCUGACGCUGAGGCACGAAAGCGUAGGUAUCGAACAGGAUUAGAUACCCCAGUAC
This 464-nucleotide ribosomal RNA is filed under the name uncultured bacterium. Its description in RNAcentral is "bacterial SSU rRNA". It matches the Rfam family "Bacterial small subunit ribosomal RNA", at positions 331 to 793 of the family's 1533-position model. The record is from RNAcentral.